RNAcentral lists this ribosomal RNA (421 nucleotides) under uncultured archaeon. RNAcentral describes it as "partial 16S ribosomal RNA". It matches the Rfam family "Archaeal small subunit ribosomal RNA", at positions 323 to 746 of the family's 1478-position model. The record is from RNAcentral.
CUACGGGCGGCAGCAGGCGAGAAAACUUUGCAAUGUGCGAAAGCACGACAAGGUUAAUCCGAGUGGUUUGUGCUAAACGAACCUUUUGACAGUCCUAGAAACACUGUUGAAUAAGGGGUGGGCAAGUUCUGGUGUCAGCCGCCGCGGUAAAACCAGCACCUCAAGUGGUCAGGAUGAUUAUUGGGCCUAAAGCAUCCGUAGCCGGCUCUGUAAGUUUUCGGUUAAAUCUGUACGCUCAACGUACAGGCUGCCGGGAAUACUGCAGAGCUAGGGAGUGGGAGAGGUAGACGGUACUCGGUAGGAAGGGGUAAAAUCCUUUGAUCUAUUGAUGACCACCUGUGGCGAAGGCGGUCUACCGGAACACGUCCGACGGUGAGGGAUGAAAGCUGGGGAGCAAACCGGAUUAGAUACCCUCGUAGUC